UAGCUUUUUUAUUAGUUAUAAGCAGAAUUACACAUGCAAAUAUCCUUAAGCCAGUGAAAAUGCCCUUUAGAUCAUUCCGAUAUAAAGGAGCGGGUAUCAAGCACACAUAUAAGCAGCUCACGACACCUUGCUUAGCCACGCCCCCACGGGAAACAGCAGUGAUAAAUAUUAAGCCAUGAACGAAAGUUUGACUUAGUCAUGCAAUAUAAUUAGGGUUGGUAAAUUUCGUGCCAGCCACCGCGUCAUACGAUUAACCCGAAUUAAUAAACCACCGGCGUAAAGAGUGUUUAAAAAUAUAACAAAACUAAGAUUAAAUUCUGUCUAUGUUGUAAAAAACCACAGACAGAUGUAAACCCAAUAAACGCAAGUAAUCUUAUUGUAUCUGAACACACGACAGCUAAGACCCAAAGCUAAGCUAUAAACACAGAACAUUAAAUUAAACAAAAUGUUUCGCCAGAGAACUACUAGCCACAGCUAAAAACUCAAAGGACUUGGCGGUGCUUCACACCCGCCUAGAGGAGCCUGUUCUAUAAUCGAUAUUCCCCGAUAAACCUUACCACUUUUUGCUAAUACAGUCUAUAUACCGCCAUCUUCAGCAAACCUUAACAAAGUAUAAAAGUAAGCGCAAUAAUAAUCGUAAAAACGUUAGGUCAAGGUGUAGCUAAUAAAGUGGAGAGAAAUGGGCUACAUUUUCUUUACAAAGAACACUUAAACGGAAACUAUUAUGAAAUCUAAUGGUGUAAGGAGGAUUUAGUAGUAAACCAAGAAUAGAGAGCUUGGUUG
Molecule: ribosomal RNA, 783 nt
Filed under: Bathyergus suillus (Cape dune mole-rat)
Lineage: Eukaryota; Metazoa; Chordata; Mammalia; Rodentia; Bathyergidae
Description: 12S
Source: RNAcentral